Non-coding RNA from Otolemur garnettii (small-eared galago), 46 nucleotides. The record is from Rfam. Lineage: Eukaryota; Metazoa; Chordata; Mammalia; Primates; Galagidae.
CAAAAGGCUCUUUUCAGAGCCACUCACCACCUCAAAAGAAGAGCUA